AGAGUUUGAUCCUGGCUCAGGACGAACGCUGGCGGCGUGCCUAACACAUGCAAGUCGAACGAGAAUCUUUGAACAGAUCUUUUCGGAGUGACGUUCAAAGAGGAAAGUGGCGGACGGGCGAGUAACGCGUGAGUAACCUGCCCAUAAGAGGGGGAUAAUCCAUGGAAACGUGGACUAAUACCGCAUAUUGUAGUCAAGUCGCAUGACUAGAUUAUGAAAGAUUUAUCGCUUAUGGAUGGACUCGCGUCAGAUUAGAUAGUUGGUGAGGUAACGGCUCACCAAGUCAACGAUCUGUAGCCGAACUGAGAGGUUGAUCGGCCGCAUUGGGACUGAGACACGGCCCAGACUCCUACGGGAGGCAGCAGUGGGGAAUAUUGCGCAAUGGGGGCAACCCUGACGCAGCAACGCCGCGUGCAGGAAGAAGGUCUUCGGAUUGUAAACUGUUGUCGCAAGGGAAGAAGACAGUGACGGUACCUUGUGAGAAAGUCACGGCUAACUACGUGCCAGCAGCCGCGGUAAUACGUAGGUGACAAGCGUUGUCCGGAUUUACUGGGUGUAAAGGGCGCGUAGGCGGACUGUCAAGUCAGUCGUGAAAUACCGGGGCUUAACCCCGGGGCUGCGAUUGAAACUGACAGCCUUGAGUAUCGGAGAGGAAAGCGGAAUUCCUAGUGUAGCGGUGAAAUGCGUAGAUAUUAGGAGGAACACCAGUGGCGAAGGCGGCUUUCUGGACGACAACUGACGCUGAGGCGCGAAAGUGUGGGGAGCAAACAGGAUUAGAUACCCUGGUAGUCCACACCGUAAACGAUGGAUACUAGGUGUAGGAGGUAUCGACCCCUUCUGUGCCGCAGUUAACACAAUAAGUAUC
This 865-nucleotide ribosomal RNA is filed under the name human gut metagenome. Its description in RNAcentral is "bacterial SSU rRNA". It matches the Rfam family "Bacterial small subunit ribosomal RNA", at positions 8 to 868 of the family's 1533-position model. The record is from RNAcentral.